RNAcentral lists this unclassified non-coding RNA (1377 nucleotides) under uncultured Neocallimastigales. RNAcentral's name for it is "partial contains small subunit ribosomal RNA, internal transcribed spacer 1, 5.8S ribosomal RNA, internal transcribed spacer 2, and large subunit ribosomal RNA". The stretch from base 615 to 1377 matches the Rfam family "Eukaryotic large subunit ribosomal RNA", at positions 1 to 618 of the family's 3401-position model. Lineage: Eukaryota; Fungi; Neocallimastigomycota; Neocallimastigomycetes; Neocallimastigales. The record is from RNAcentral.
UAAAAGUCGUAACAAGGUUUCCGUAGGUGAACCUGCGGAAGGAUCAUUAAAAAAUUGUGGUACCAAUUAUUGGUACUAAUAAUCAUCCUACCCUUUGUGAAUUUGUUUGUAUGAAUUUUUUUAAAUGGUCUUUCCCUAAGUUGGAUUGUAGUAAAAUACAAAAGACUUAGGGGAUGACUUUUUUAAAAGACUUUUUUUUAAAUUAAACUUUUGUAUUCAUUUGUCUAAAAUUUAUUUUUAUAAUAUAAAAACAACUUUUGACAAUGGAUCUCUUGGUUCUCGCAACGAUGAAGAACGCAGCAAAAUGCGAUAAGUAGUGUGAAUUGCAGAAUACGUGAAUCAUCGAAUCUUCGAACGCAUAUUGCACUUUUUUAGUUUACUAAAAAAGUAUGUCUGUUUGAGUAUCAGUAAAAUAUUCUCACAAACAUAUAUUGUUUGUGGUUAUGAGUGUUUUACAACGAUAAACAAGUUGUUUCACUUUAAAUUCUUUUUGAAGAAUUUUACUACAAUUCAAAUUAAAAUUGGAUAAAAUUUUCCUUUAACGAGGAAUAACCUAAACAAUUUUAAAAUUUUAUGGAUUUGUAAAUCAUAAAGGAAUCUAUAUAUAAAUAACUUGAUCUCAAAUCAGAUAAGAGUACCCGCUGAACUUAAGCAUAUCAAUAAGCGGAGGAAAAGAAACUAACAAGGAUUCCCUUAGUAACGGCGAGUGAAGCGGGAAGAGCUCAAAUUUGAAAUCUUCAAGGUUUGACCUUGACGAAUUGUAGUUUAUAGAAGUGUUUUCUGUUGGAGUUUUGGUAAAAGUUCUUUGGAAUAGGACAUCAUAGAGGGUGAGAAUCCCGUAUUUGACCAUGACUUUCCAGCUGUGUGAUACACUUUCAAAGAGUCGGAUUGUUUGGGAAUGCAGUCCAAAAUGGGUGGUAAAUUUCAUCUAAAGCUAAAUAUUGGCGAGAGACCGAUAGCGAACAAGUACCGUGAGGGAAAGAUGAAAAGACUUUGAAAAGAGAGUUAAACAGUACGUGAAAUUGUCAAAAGGGAAGCGUUUGACACCAGUGUUGUUUUCUCGAAAAUCAAUUUAAUGAGUUCUUGUUUUAAGUUAUUGUGACUUUAUCAGCGCAUUCUUAUUUUACUUGACUCAUUGAAUGCACUUUUCGUUUAACAAGUCAACAUCAAUUUCUUUGGUGGUAAAAAGUUUAAAGGAAGGUGGCUUGGACUUCGGUUCAAGUGUUUAUAGCCUUUUUCUAUGCCAUCGGAGAGAUUGAGGUCUGCAGCGUAGAUCCUUCGGGGUUAGAUACCUUUGUGCUAAGUUAUAGUUUUUUAUAGACAACUUGUUGACUAUAAUUAACCCUGUAAUUUACUCGCUUAGGCUAUUUUACCUAC